GAGUAACACGUGAGCAACCUACCCCUGACUCUGGGAUAAGCACUGGAAACGGUGUCUAAUACCGGAUACGAGUAGCGAAGGCAUCUUCAGCUACUGGAAAGAACUUCGGUCUGGGAUGGGCUCGCGGCCUAUCAGCUUGUUGGUGAGGUAAUGGCUCACCAAGGCGUCGACGGGUAGCCGGCCUGAGAGGGUGACCGGCCACACUGGGACUGAGACACGGCCCAGACUCCUACGGGAGGCAGCAGUGGGGAAUAUUGCACAAUGGGCGCAAGCCUGAUGCAGCAACGCCGCGUGAGGGACGACGGCCUUCGGGUUGUAAACCUCUUUUAGCAGGGAAGAAGCGAAAGUGACGGUACCUGCAGAAAAAGCACCGGCUAACUACGUGCCAGCAGCCGCGGUAAUACGUAGGGUGCAAGCGUUAUCCGGAAUUAUUGGGCGUAAAGAGCUCGUAGGCGGUUUGUCGCGUCUGCUGUGAAAACCCGAGGCUCAACCUCGGGCCUGCAGUGGGUACGGGCAGACUAGAGUGCGGUAGGGGAGAUUGGAAUUCCUGGU
Molecule: ribosomal RNA, 552 nt
Filed under: Microbacterium fluvii
Lineage: Bacteria; Bacillati; Actinomycetota; Actinomycetes; Micrococcales; Microbacteriaceae
Description: bacterial SSU rRNA
Rfam family: Bacterial small subunit ribosomal RNA
Source: RNAcentral